Non-coding RNA from Pelobates cultripes (western spadefoot toad), 380 nucleotides. Lineage: Eukaryota; Metazoa; Chordata; Amphibia; Anura; Pelobatidae. The record is from the annotation of a GenBank genome assembly.
GGGGUGACUGACUAGGAAGAGGGAGAGGGGGUGACUAGUGACAGAGUGAGGGAGGGGGUGACUAGUGACAGAGUGAGGGAGGGGGUGAACACAGUGACAGAGUAAGGGGGUGACUAGUGACAGAGUGAGGGAGCGGGUGACACAGUGACAGAGUUAGGGAGGGAGUAACUAGUGACAGAGAGAGGGAUGGGGUGACUAGUGACAGUCACCCCCCCCCCCCUCACUCUGUCACCAGUCAUCCCCUUACUCUGUCACUAGUCACCCCUUCCCUCCCUCACUCUGCCACUAGUCACCCAUUCUCUCACUCUGUCACUAGUCUCCCAUUCCCUCCCUCUGUCACUAGUCUCCCCCUCUCCUUCCCUCUGUCACUAGUCACCCAC